GGAAAAUGUUGAGUUUGUCUUCCAGAUCUACUGGACCAGGAUCAAAAAGUUCCUCUGGUUCCAGUCCAUCUUUGUCUUUAACUAAGUUACUUGCAGGCUGCAGAGACACAGCACCAGGUGAUGUAGGCGGGGCAGAGGAAGGGAGCAAUGGGGUGUGCAUCGUAGGUUGAGCAGAGGGCAGGAGCAGUGCAAUGAGCAUCAGGGGCAGAGCAGGUGGGGGUGGCAAGCAUCAGGAGCGGAGCUGAGGGCGGGGACAUGUGGUUGGUGGUGGGGGGGGGAGUCAUGAUUUCUCUUCUUCCUGGCCACGGGCAGGGUUGGAGCUGUAGAUUGAAUCUGGGCCAGGGCUGCUUUCGGCACUGAGGGGCAGCAGUGGGGAUAGGACAGAGGGCAAUGAGGAAUAAUCAGAAGUUCUUCCUUGUCAUAUUCUUUUUAAGCCCUUCCAUUAUUUGGUGCCAAACAGGUAAAAGUUUAGCAGCCAUUCUGUCUUUAGUAAUAGAAUUGAAACUAAUUUUUAAGUAGAUACAGGCUGAUUCAGAAACUUUAAAACUAACUGUAAUACUUCAAGAUUUACUUGUUGCUCUUUCAUUAGUGAACUCCCCAUAGUUCCCGCCUGCUCACCUUCUGUCCUGCAGAACAGUGCAGGUGCACAGGAAACAAUCUCUCUGUAGUUCAGUGGGGUGGCGCUGCCGGACUGUGCUCACUCAACCUUGGCUUGAUUUGCCCCAUGCAGUGGGCACCAUUUGCAGUAUCUUAUGCAUGGACUCAGAUGUGAGCAAUCCAAACCAUUUAUUACAAGUUCUCACAUCACUCAUAUACCUUCACAAGUUCCUUUUUUCCAGCUUUCCUAUCCACCCCUACAACGUUCCCAUCCACCUUUACAUGUCAACAAAGCAUACUACAAACACUCUUCAACUAUUCGUGUGGGCAUUUAUCCAGUCAGAGCUGCGAGUCGUUCUUCUAGAGGCAUCCUUGGUUCUCAUACUGUUUAUCUUGCUCCACAGCUGCUGCUCUGAACAGUUUUUCUUGUAUUCCCCAUAUC
RNAcentral lists this long non-coding RNA (1039 nucleotides) under Gallus gallus (chicken). RNAcentral's name for it is "lncRNA (ENSGALG00010008493.1)". The record is from RNAcentral. Lineage: Eukaryota; Metazoa; Chordata; Aves; Galliformes; Phasianidae.